Molecule: unclassified non-coding RNA, 327 nt
Filed under: soil metagenome
Description: partial contains 5.8S ribosomal RNA, internal transcribed spacer 2, and large subunit ribosomal RNA
Rfam family: 5.8S ribosomal RNA (bases 1-120)
Source: RNAcentral
GAUGAAGAACGUAGCGAAAUGCGAUACGUAAUGUGAAUUGCAGAAUUCAGUGAAUCAUCGAAUCUUUGAACGCACAUUGCGCCCCUUGGUAUUCCGGGGGGCAUGCCUGUUCGAGCGUCAUUAUAACCCCUCAAGCUCAGCUUGGUGUUGGGGCCUGCCGACUGGCAGCCCUUAAAAUCAGUGGCGGCGCCAUCUGGCUCUAAGCGUAGUAAUUUCUCUCGCUAUAGAGUCCCGGUGGAUGCUUGCCAGCAACCCCCAACUUUCUAUGGUUGACCUCGGAUCAGGUAGGGAUACCCGCUGAACUUAAGCAUAUCAAUAAGCGGAGGA